GUAAUAACAUGACCAUAUACAGGGAGUACCAGUACUGAGUCAAUGUUCAGGGGUACGAGGUAAUAACAUGGCUAUAUACAGGGAGUACCAGUACUGAGUCGAUGUGCAGGGGUACGAGGUAAUAACAUGGCUAUAUACAGGGAGUACCAGUACUGAGUCGAUGAGCAGGGGUACGAGGUAAUAACAUGGCUAUAUACAGGGAGUACCAGUACUGAGUCGAUGAGCAGGGGUUCGAAGUAAUAACAUGGCUAUAUACAGGGAGUACCAGUACUGAGUCGAUAUAGGUAGGGGUAGGGGUAAAGUGACUAGACAACAGGAUAGAUAAUAGACAGUAGCAGCAGUAUACUGUAGGUAGGGUUAGUGACUAGACAACAGGAUAGAUAAUAGACAGUAACAGCAGUAUACUGUAGGUAGGGGUAAAGUGACUAGGUAACAGGAUAGAUAAUAGACAGUAGCAGCAGUAUACUGUAGGUAGGGUUAGUGACUAGACAACAGGAUAGAUAAUAGACAGUAACAGCAGUAUACUGUAGGUAGGGGUAAAGUGACUAGGUAACAGGAUAGAUAAUAGACAGUAACAGCAGUAUACUGUAGGUAGGGGUAAAGUGACUAGACAACAGGAUAGAUAAUAGACAGUAGCAGCAGUAUACUGUAGGUAGGGUUAGUGACUAGACAACAGGAUAGAUAAUAGACAGUAACA
This 697-nucleotide long non-coding RNA is filed under the name Salmo salar (Atlantic salmon). RNAcentral describes it as "lncRNA (ENSSSAG00000102028.1)". Lineage: Eukaryota; Metazoa; Chordata; Actinopteri; Salmoniformes; Salmonidae. The record is from RNAcentral.